This is a non-coding RNA of Serratia sp. DD3, 363 nucleotides long. It matches the Rfam family "transfer-messenger RNA". From Rfam's summary of the family: Bacterial tmRNA, also known as 10Sa RNA or SsrA, is named for its dual tRNA and mRNA-like properties. Its role is to liberate the mRNA from a stalled ribosome. The record is from Rfam. NCBI's taxonomy places the organism in Bacteria, Pseudomonadati, Pseudomonadota, Gammaproteobacteria, Enterobacterales, Yersiniaceae.
GGGGCUGAUUCUGGAUUCGACGGGAUUUGCGAAGCCCAAGGAGCAUGCCGAGGGGCGGUUUGCCUCGUAAAAAGCCGCAAAAAAAUAGUCGCAAACGACGAAAACUACGCACUAGCAGCUUAAUACCCUGCCUAGAGCCCUCUCUCCCUAGCUUCCGCUCUUAAGACGGGGAUCAAGAGAGGUCAAACCCAAAAGAGAUCGUGUGGAGACCUUGCCUGGGGUUGAAGCACUAAAUUUAAUCAGGCUAGUUUGUUAGUGGCGUGUCCAUCCGCAGCUGACCGGCGAAUGUAAAGAUUGACUAAGCAUGUAGUGCCGACGGCGUAGUAAUUUCGGACGGGGGUUCAAAUCCCCCCAGCUCCACCA